ACUCAAAGGAAUUGACGGGGGCUCGCACAAGCGGUGGAGCAUGCGGUUUAAUUCGAUGCUACGCGAAAAACCUUACCAACCCUUGACAUGGUGGUCGCGGAUCACAGAGAUGAGAUCCUUCAGUUCGGCUGGACCACACACAGGUGUUGCAUGGCUGUCGUCAGCUCGUGUCGUGAGAUGUUGGGUUAAGUCCCGCAACGAGCGCAACCCUCAUCCUUAUUUGCCAGCGGUUAGGCCGGGAACUAUAAGGAAACUGCCGGCGAUAAGCCGGAGGAAGGUGGGGACGAUGUCAAGUCAUCAUGGCCCUUACGGGUUGGGCUACACGCGUGCUACAAUGGUAUCUACAGAGGGAAGCAAGACGGUGACGUGGAGCCAAUCCCUAAAAGAUAUCUCAGUUCGGAUUGUUCUCUGCAACUCGAGAACAUGAAGCCGGAAUCGCUAGUAAUCGCGGAUCAGCAUGCCGCGGUGAAUACGUUCUCGGGCCUUGUACACACCGCCCGU
This 501-nucleotide ribosomal RNA is filed under the name uncultured bacterium. Its description in RNAcentral is "partial 16S ribosomal RNA". It matches the Rfam family "Bacterial small subunit ribosomal RNA", at positions 899 to 1397 of the family's 1533-position model. The record is from RNAcentral.